GAAACGGUAAGUGAGUGAUCUCGUCCCGUACAAUUGUCGGUACAUACAUGCCUAUAACUGGAAUUCAAUCUAAUUAUGCCAGUGACUGUAAAAGUUUUAACAUUUCUCUUCAGUGAUGCCUUCGCUGUCUCUCACGACCUCGAUCUGAGACGCCUCAGGAGAAGCGCCAGCUCCGGCAGUGGCAGCUACAGCAUUGAGGAGUGAAGAUUCCUCUGAGGAAGGGACGACUACCGCUCGUUGAACAAGGACUCUGAUGUGACGGCGCUGACAUUCGCCAAACGACCUGACCCUAUUUGGCUCUGCUCAUUUCAAUCAGGAUAUAUCCAAGUACA
This is a long non-coding RNA of Penaeus chinensis, 332 nucleotides long. RefSeq lists it as uncharacterized. The record is from RefSeq and is a predicted model, not a curated record. NCBI's taxonomy places the organism in Eukaryota, Metazoa, Arthropoda, Malacostraca, Decapoda, Penaeidae. The transcript has 2 exons.